GAUGAACGCUGGCGGCGUGCCUAAUACAUGCAAGUCGAGCGAACGGACGAGAAGCUUGCUUCUCUGAUGUUAGCGGCGGACGGGUGAGUAACACGUGGAUAACCUACCUAUAAGACUGGGAUAACUUCGGGAAACCGGAGCUAAUACCGGAUAAUAUUUUGAACCGCAUGGUUCAAAAGUGAAAGACGGUCUUGCUGUCACUUAUAGAUGGAUCCGCGCUGCAUUAGCUAGUUGGUAAGGUAACGGCUUACCAAGGCAACGAUGCAUAGCCGACCUGAGAGGGUGAUCGGCCACACUGGAACUGAGACACGGUCCAGACUCCUACGGGAGGCAGCAGUAGGGAAUCUUCCGCAAUGGGCGAAAGCCUGACGGAGCAACGCAGCGUGAGUGAUGAAGGUCUUCGGAUCGUAAAGCUCUGUUAUUAGGGAAGAACAUAUGUGUAAGUAACUGUGCACAUCUUGACGGUACCUAAUCAGAAAGCCACGGCUAACUACGUG
RNAcentral lists this ribosomal RNA (497 nucleotides) under uncultured bacterium. RNAcentral describes it as "partial 16S ribosomal RNA". It matches the Rfam family "Bacterial small subunit ribosomal RNA", at positions 28 to 507 of the family's 1533-position model. The record is from RNAcentral.